Molecule: ribosomal RNA, 449 nt
Filed under: uncultured bacterium
Lineage: Bacteria
Description: partial 16S ribosomal RNA
Rfam family: Bacterial small subunit ribosomal RNA
Source: RNAcentral
GACGAACGCUGGCGGCAGGCCUAACACAUGCAAGUCGAGCGAAGCCUUCGGGCUUAGCGGCGGACGGGUGAGUAACGCGUGGGAACGUGCCCUUUGCUACGGAAUAGCCCCGGGAAACUGGGAGUAAUACCGUAUGUGCCCUUCGGGGGAAAGAUUUAUCGGGAAAGGAUCGGCCCGCGUUGGAUUAUGUAGUUGGUGGGGUAAUGGCCUACCAAGCUGACGAUCCAUAGCUGGUUUGAGAGGAUGAUCAGCCACACUGGGACUGAGACACGGCCCAGUCUCCUACGGGAGGCAGCAGUGGGGAAUCUUAGACAAUGGGGGAAACCCUGAUCUAGCCAUGCCGCGUGAUCGAUGAAGGCCUUAGGGUUGUAAAGAUCUUUCAGUGGGGAAGAUAAUGACUGUACCCACAGAAGAAGCCCCGGCUAACUCCGUGCCAGCAGCCGCCGUAA